GAUGAACGCUGGCGGCGUGCCUAAUACAUGCAAGUCGAGCGAACAGACGAGGAGCUUGCUCCUCUGACGUUAGCGGCGGACGGGUGAGUAACACGUGGAUAACCUACCUAUAAGACUGGGAUAACUUCGGGAAACCGGAGCUAAUACCGGAUAAUAUAUUGAACCGCAUGGUUCAAUAGUGAAAGACGGUUUUGCUGUCACUUAUAGAUGGAUCCGCGCCGCAUUAGCUAGUUGGUAAGGUAACGGCCUACCAAGGCAACGAUGCAUAGCCGACCUGAGAGGGUGAUCGGCCACACUGGAACUGAGACACGGUCCAGACUCCUACGGGAGGCAGCAGUAGGGAAUCUUCCGCAAUGGGCGAAAGCUUGACGGAGCAACGCCGCGUGAGUGAUGAAGGUCUUCGGAUCGUAAAACUCUGUUAUUAGGGAAGAACAAAUGUGUAAGUAACUAUGCACGUCUUGACGGUACCUAAUCAGAAAGCCACGGCUAACUACGUG
RNAcentral lists this ribosomal RNA (497 nucleotides) under uncultured bacterium. RNAcentral describes it as "partial 16S ribosomal RNA". It matches the Rfam family "Bacterial small subunit ribosomal RNA", at positions 28 to 507 of the family's 1533-position model. The record is from RNAcentral.